GCCCCAUGAUGUAUUUCCAUUCAUUUUGAUGGCAAAGAUUUGAGGAUAAUGAAAGAUUAAAGGCA
RNAcentral lists this small RNA (65 nucleotides) under Salix viminalis (osier). The record is from RNAcentral. Lineage: Eukaryota; Viridiplantae; Streptophyta; Magnoliopsida; Malpighiales; Salicaceae.